Molecule: unclassified non-coding RNA, 328 nt
Filed under: soil metagenome
Description: partial contains 5.8S ribosomal RNA, internal transcribed spacer 2, and large subunit ribosomal RNA
Rfam family: 5.8S ribosomal RNA (bases 1-120)
Source: RNAcentral
GAUGAAGAACGCAGCGAAAUGCGAUAAUUAAUGUGAAUUGCAGAAUUUAGUGAAUCAUCGAAUCUUUGAACGCACAUUGCGCCCCUUGGUAUUCCGGGGGGCAUGCCUGUUCGAGCGUCAUUUCAACCCUCAAGCACUGCUUGGUCUUGGGCCACGCCGGCGACGGCAGGCCUCAAACGUAGUGGCGGCACCAUCGGUUCCCUCAGUGUAGUAAUAUCUCUCGCUGCUGGGCCCUGGUGGUCGCUAGCCAGCAACCUCAAUUUUUUCUGGUUGACCUCGGAUCAGGUAGGGAUACCCGCUGAACUUAAGCAUAUCAAUAAGCGGAGGA